CUCCAAUAGCGUAUAUUUAAGUUGUUGCAGUUAAAAAGCUCGUAGUUGGAUUUCGGUUGGAAGCGGCCGGUCCGCCGUUUGGUGUGCACUGGCUGGUUUCAACUUCCUGCCGAGGACGCGCUCCUGGGCUUAACGGUCUGGGACGCGGAGUCGGCGUGGUUACUUUGAGUAAAUUAGAGUGUUCAAAGCAGGCCACCGCU
RNAcentral lists this ribosomal RNA (200 nucleotides) under uncultured eukaryote. Its description in RNAcentral is "partial 18S ribosomal RNA". It matches the Rfam family "Eukaryotic small subunit ribosomal RNA", at positions 589 to 795 of the family's 1831-position model. The record is from RNAcentral.